AAGACCUUGCGCUUUUGGAGCGGCCGAUGCCUGAUUAGCUUGUUGGUAAGGUAAAAGCUUACCAAGGCUUCGAUCAGUAGCUGGUCUGAGAGGACGACCAGCCACACUGGGACUGAGACACGGCCCAGACUCCUACGGGAGGCGGCAGUGGGGAAUUUUGGACAAUGGGGGCAACCCUGAUCCAGCCAUGCCGCGUGAGUGAAGAAGGCCUUCGGGUUGUAAAGCUCUUUCAGCCGGAACGAAACGGUUACGGUUAAUACCCGUGACUACUGACGGUACCGGAAGAAGAAGCACCGGCUAACUACGUGCCAGCAGCCGCGGUAAUACGUAGGGUGCGAGCGUUAAUCGGAAUUACUGGGCGUAAAGCGUGCGCAGGUGGUUUUGUAAGUCAGAUGUGAAAGCCCCGGGCUCAACCUGGGAACU
Molecule: ribosomal RNA, 423 nt
Filed under: uncultured bacterium
Lineage: Bacteria
Description: bacterial SSU rRNA
Rfam family: Bacterial small subunit ribosomal RNA
Source: RNAcentral